This 253-nucleotide ribosomal RNA is filed under the name uncultured bacterium. RNAcentral describes it as "partial 16S ribosomal RNA". It matches the Rfam family "Bacterial small subunit ribosomal RNA", at positions 524 to 776 of the family's 1533-position model. The record is from RNAcentral.
UACGGGGGGUGCUAGCGUUAUUCGGAAUCAUUGGGCGUAAAGGGCGCGUAGGCGGUCUCUUAAGUCAGAUGUGAAAGCCCUCGGCUUAACCGAGGAAGUGCAUUUGAUACUAAGUGACUUGAGUAUGGGAGAGGGAAGCGGAAUUCCUGGUGUAGCGGUGAAAUGCGUAGAUAUCAGGAGGAACACCGGUGGCGAAGGCGGCUUCCUGGACCAAUACUGACGCUGAGGCGCGAAGGCGUGGGGAGCAAACAGG